GGCUAACUCCGUGCCAGCAGCCGCGGUAAUACGGAGGGUGCGAGCGUUAAUCGGAAUUACUGGGCGUAAAGCGCAUGCAGGCGGCCUGUUAAGUCAGAUGUGAAAAGCCCGGGGCUUAACCUCGGAAUUGCAUUUGAAACUGGCAGGCUAGAGUCUUGUAGAGGGGGUAGAAUUUCAGGUGUAGCGGUGAAAUGCGUAGAGAUCUGAAGGAAUACCAGUGGCGAAGGCGGCCCCCUGGACAAAGACUGACGCUCAGAUGCGAAAGCGUGGGGAGCAAACAGGAUUAGAUACCCUGGUAG
RNAcentral lists this ribosomal RNA (299 nucleotides) under uncultured bacterium. Its description in RNAcentral is "partial 16S ribosomal RNA". It matches the Rfam family "Bacterial small subunit ribosomal RNA", at positions 495 to 793 of the family's 1533-position model. The record is from RNAcentral.